This 57-nucleotide transfer RNA is filed under the name Ophidascaris sp. CYZ-2020. RNAcentral's name for it is "tRNA-Asp". The record is from RNAcentral. Lineage: Eukaryota; Metazoa; Nematoda; Chromadorea; Rhabditida; Anisakidae.
GAAGUUUUAGUAUAAGUUUUAAUAUAUUUCAUUGUCGUUGAAGGGAUUUAAGCUUUG